UACGUAGGGUGCAAGCGUUAAUCGGAAUUACUGGGCGUAAAGCGCGCGUAGGCGGCUUUGCAAGUCGAGUGUGAAAUCCCCAGGCUUAACCUGGGAACUGCAUUCGAGACUGCAUGGCCAGAGUAUGGGAGAGGGAAGUGGAAUUUCAGGUGUAGCGGUGAAAUGCGUAGAUAUCUGAAGGAACAUCAGUGGCGAAAGCGACUUCCUAGACCAAUACUGACGCUCAUGUGCGAAAGCGUGGGGAGCAAACAGG
This 253-nucleotide ribosomal RNA is filed under the name uncultured bacterium. RNAcentral's name for it is "partial 16S ribosomal RNA". It matches the Rfam family "Bacterial small subunit ribosomal RNA", at positions 524 to 776 of the family's 1533-position model. The record is from RNAcentral.